This 33-nucleotide ribosomal RNA is filed under the name Aspergillus sydowii. Its description in RNAcentral is "partial 18S ribosomal RNA". Lineage: Eukaryota; Fungi; Ascomycota; Eurotiomycetes; Eurotiales; Aspergillaceae. The record is from RNAcentral.
UGGCGGUGGGGUGGACCUUGCGGAAGGACAUUA